RNAcentral lists this microRNA (22 nucleotides) under Gallus gallus (chicken). RNAcentral's name for it is "gga-miR-6565-5p". Lineage: Eukaryota; Metazoa; Chordata; Aves; Galliformes; Phasianidae. The record is from miRBase by way of RNAcentral.
AUGAGAUAGCAAAGCACACUUC